Molecule: long non-coding RNA, 2766 nt
Filed under: Nicotiana tabacum (common tobacco)
Lineage: Eukaryota; Viridiplantae; Streptophyta; Magnoliopsida; Solanales; Solanaceae
Description: long non-coding RNA (NTAB_LNC010038)
Source: RNAcentral
ACAAUUUAUGUUUUAUCAAUUAAGUAGUGGCCUAAUAAUAAUUGACUUACUACCUAAUAAAUCUAGGCAAUUUUAGCUGUAGUGUUCAAGUUGGAGCAUAUAGAUCAUAUGUUCUAAGUUUGUCACAUAUAUACUUCCUCCUUGUUUUCAAUUACACUAAGUUUUGGUUUAAAUUUGACAAAACGGAUGGACGAAACGUAAUUAGAACGUCGAAAUAUCCCAGACUACUCUUGAUGCGAAUUGCUGGUUGGAUAGGUUCAUUGAUGUGGAUUGCUAGCUGGAUAGGUUCAUUGAUGUGGAUUGCUUGCUGGAUAGGUUUAUGGAUUUCUGACGCGCGAACUAAACGAACGGAAGAAGUUGCCCUGAAUAGUACCUGAUGUGGGGGACAGGAUGACAGGUGCACCUCGGAGUUGAGAUUUUUUUCUGCAUGUGUAGACGCACUCAAAAUAUUGCCGUGUUCAUCUUGAUGAGACAAAACUGUUGGUCUAUGACUCUAUACAACUGAUGCAUUAACAUCUAGGCAAUCAGCAUGUGACAAUUUGGACCACAUUGAAGAGAAAUUCAGCUGAGAUUGAAAGCUUAGAAAGUUGAAGAAGUAUAUCGGAAUGAGAGAAUACCAAGACCAAAAAUAGAAGAUUGAUAAGCUUCAAACUUAAUCAGCAGGAGCAAAACAGCAAAGAGUUUGGAGAUAGCCAGAAACAAUUAAACGAAUAAUAAUAGAUUCAGAAUUGGGUGGCGCGGGCAAGACUGAAGACUCUAUCAGGUCAGAAUAAGUAAGAGAAAAUAGAAAGUUCAAGAAUAUGUGGCAUCAAAGUCUCCAUUCUUAGUGUAUUUGUAGAUAUACUGCUGCCUAUUUAUAUGGUUCUUAAUGACACUGAUUUUGUAAUAAAAGUUGCCUUAUUUAUCUUUAUACAAAUUAAGUAGUUCUCUAAUCUAAUUAAUCAGUUACUUUAAUUACCUUGCUCUGAUAAAGUCGCAUCAUUAUGGAACAAGGAAAUUUCUUCAGGACUCAUUUAUGAAGGGCCUGGGAAUAUGUAUAGGAAAUUUCACUCUCUCAAGAUUGACGUUAUGUGACCCAUAUGUUGGUAUUCGUGAGGUUCUCAAUGGGCAAAGUUUGUGUGCUCCAAAUUAUUCACUUGCCUUGGCAAUUUUAUUUAAGGUUUGGUAACAUGAAAAUCUUUGAUAGUGGAGGGAGAGAGAAGAAAAAUAUUGGUUGAGGUAGACGUGUCCUAAAGAAGCUUGAGCCCUGUAAUGGUGUCAUUGUUACUGCUGCCUACCAAUGUGCGGAAAGCUGGUGUCAGCAUGGAGAUUUUUAUUAAGAGUUGGUGUUGUGGAGCAGAUGAACUAUAGAUGAGUGGAAACUUUCCUUUAAAUUCGGUUUCCAACAUUCUUAUUUAUCUAUUCUUAAUAAAAGUGCAGUUUUGUGUUACUUCUUUCCUUUUCUCCAAUAUAACAUGUUCGAUUUCCUUUAGUCUGUCAAAGUCCUUUCCUUUUCCUCGUUGUGUCCAUGGGAUGUGCUAUAUUUCUGGCUUAAGUUGGCAGUACUUUGGGCAUGGUGCUUGUUUUCAAGAACUUAAUGGUCAAUUUCAUAAGAAGUGUUGGAAAGAAAAAUCUUUUUGGUGUGAAGUAUAGCAGCCAAAAUGUAACACAUCCAAAUAUGGGCAGUGCGUUACGCUAGCAUAAUGCUUUCUGUUUACUGUGUGGUAGACUAUAGAGUUCCUUCUGCUUGCUGUCUGUUUCUUAUUAAUAUUGACAUGAGAACAGCAUCCUUAAUUUCUGUAAAAUUAUAGCUCUCUCUCUGACGAACACUUGCACACACACAGACAGCUCUCUAGCAUCGAGCUGUUGGAAAAAAUCAACCUUUUGCAGUUUCAGGGUUGGAAAAUGUGUGAUGCAACAACAUUUUUCCCCUUCAAUUACAAGUUCAUGAUGAAAGUUUUGGGGCUUGCAGUUAGCUCCCUCUUGUAAGCUGAAAGUGGAUUGGCAAAUUACUGACUGAAUACUGCUUGUUUGCUACUUUGCUUUUUUAUUUUAUUUUAUUUUUUCUUUUAAGUUUUCGUUUAGAUUUAGAAAGUAUAAGGUGACCCUUUUUUCAUCUUUCUUUCUCUCCCCAAUCCCAUCCACCUGCCUUUCCAAGACCAAUUGCUUCUUGAUAUCUUCAUCGACUGGAAGUGACUCUGUUUGAUCUACUUCAUGUUUUAUUUCAGGCAACACGAGAAUUAAAUCUGAGGCAAUCAGAUGACAAACAAAUGACCACAACAGGAAGUAAAUUAUGACUUGAAGAACAUCCAGAAACCAAAUUUGCUUAGUGCCACUUUUCACAGGCUGAAUGAUAACAUAUGUCCGCUUGCAGUCUUGUAUAGACUAAGAGAGCAUUUGGGAAAAGAUUACACUCAGGUUCCAUACAUUUUUGCAACUCGGAUAAAACAGGGCGUUUAUUUAUUUUUUGAUUCUUGCACCCUCCCCACCCCUCCAUUUAAUCAGCCCAGGGAUACAGAAAUAGCAUAAGUAGCUGUUUGCAAAAGAAAAUUUCAUAAAGAUUGUUGCAGGGUUUCGACAUUGAAUCUCCUCCUAAACUUUUACUGAGUGAUUGUAUUUAUGGUAAUACGAACUUGCAAGGAAAUAGAAAGUCCAUACUGCUUAUUUUUUACUAGCCUCUGUAGUGUUUUUGUGUUGGACGCCAAUAGAACAAACUUGCAGCUGUAAUGGUACCCAUUGACUGCCAUUAUACGUAGAUGUAUAUUUGCGGAUGGCAAUGCAGAAGCU